This 509-nucleotide ribosomal RNA is filed under the name Indirana brachytarsus (Anamallais Indian frog). RNAcentral describes it as "partial 16S ribosomal RNA". It matches the Rfam family "Bacterial large subunit ribosomal RNA", at positions 1923 to 2599 of the family's 2925-position model. Lineage: Eukaryota; Metazoa; Chordata; Amphibia; Anura; Ranixalidae. The record is from RNAcentral.
UUUAACGGCCGCGGUACUCUGACCGUGCGAAGGUAGCAUAAUCACUUGUUCUUUAAAUGGGGACUUGUAUCAACGGCAUCACGAGGGCCAUACUGUCUCCUUUUUCCAAUCAGUGAAACUGAUCUUCCCGUGAAGAAGCGGGAAUUAACCUAUAAGACGAGAAGACCCCAUGGAGCUUUAAACCCAACAACAAGUCUAAAUAAACAUACCAUAAAAAUUAAUGACACCUGAACUGUUGGUUUUAGGUUGGGGUGACCGCGGAGUAUAAACUAACCUCCACGACGAACGGGACUAAACCCUUAUCUACGAGCCACCGCUCUAAGAAUCAGCACACUGACUUCUAAUGAUCCGAUAUUCGAUCAACGAACCAAGUUACCCUGGGGAUAACAGCGCUAUCCAUUUCAAGAGCUCCUAUCGACAAAUGGGUUUACGACCUCGAUGUUGGAUCAGGGUAUCCUAGUGGUGCAGCCGCUACUAAAGGUUUGUUUGUUCAACAAUUAAAACCCUAC